This is a long non-coding RNA of Thalassophryne amazonica, 195 nucleotides long. RefSeq lists it as uncharacterized. NCBI's taxonomy places the organism in Eukaryota, Metazoa, Chordata, Actinopteri, Batrachoidiformes, Batrachoididae. The record is from RefSeq and is a predicted model, not a curated record. The transcript has 3 exons.
UCGGUCUUGAUAUUUUAGUAUUAGUUUAUGGUUAUUAGUCAUGUCCAUGUCCAUGACUGCACUCCCUUGUCUACACUCAUCUCUGUUCUCGUGUAUUCAUGCCCAUUUUCUUUUGUAUCAUUGUCUCCCUCUGAUCACUGCACUCUCUUGUCCUGCACCUGCACUUCCUCAUCUCUGUUCGCCACGUGAGAUCGG